Molecule: long non-coding RNA, 1968 nt
Organism: Acinonyx jubatus (cheetah)
Lineage: Eukaryota; Metazoa; Chordata; Mammalia; Carnivora; Felidae
Exons: 3
Source: RefSeq, a predicted model, not a curated record
GGAUUUUUUUAAUACAUAGGAUCAUUUCAUCUGUAAAUAGAGCUAGUUUUUCCUGCUCCCUUUGCAGUUUGUUGUAUUUUCUCCCUUGUCUUACUGCUCUGUUAGAACUUACAGUACAGUGUGGAAUAGCAGUAGCGGAAAAGGCACCUAUGUCUUAUUCCUGAUCUAAGGUGGGAAGCUUUCAGUCUUUCACCAUUGAAUAUGGUGUUAGGUGUGGGUUUUUCAUAAAUGCCAUUUAUCAUGUUAAGAAAGGUUCCUUCUACUUCUGAUUUUAUGAGAGAUUUUAUCAUGAAAGUGUGUUGCAUUUUUUCAGAUGCCUUUUCUGUGUUGAGAUCAUGCAGAUAUUUAUUUCCUUCUUUCUAUUGUGAUGUAUUACAUUGAUUUUUUAUGUCAAAUCUCUUAAUAUAAUCACAAUACCACACCGUAAAAAUGAUUAUUUAAUAUCAUCAUACAUCCAGAUUUCCCUGAUUGUCCCAUGGAGUUGUUCUUUUUGUUUGUUUGUUUGUUUGUUUGUUUUUUAAAUGGUUGCUACUUUUUCUGUUAAUAGUUGUGCAGAUAUUAAGAAAGGUAGUGAGCUGUUCCAUUUGGCCACUGCUUGGUUGUACUCAUCAUCUCCUCUACUUUUGCAGUAGAGCUCUGGUGAAAUGGUCCUAAGGUCCUCGCUAUGUUCAAAUUUCCAAAGUCAGAGGAUGAUUUGUCCUUAUCUUACUUGACCUUUAUGUAGCAUCUGUUUAACUUCUUAGUAUUGGCCACCCUGUUUAGCUUCUGUGAUUUUCCUUCAAGUCAAUACAGUUAGGAUGGUGGUCAUACAACUUUAUAUAUUAAGCACAGGAGCCAGGUGGUUGAGAAAUGAUUGGAAUUUGAUCAAUAGAGGCUUUUUUUUGAAAGCUUGACUUUAAGAGAAGAUAGUAAUGGGCCUUGCUGUUCAAGAUGUAGUCCUUGAACCAGUAUCAUCUGUAGGGCUUGGGAACAUGUUAGAAAUUCAGAAUCUCAGGCACUGCCCCAGACCUACUGAAUCAGAAUCUAUAUUUUCUCAAAAUUCCUAGAAGCAGCAGUUGAGGAUACCUGGGGGGAUGAGGCAAUACGGAGUUAUGGGCUGUUUUUUACCUUUCUUCCAGGGGAUAACCUUGAACAUCUUUAUUUGAAGGGGAGAAACCAAUGGAAAAGAAAGGGGGUUGAAAAUAUAGGAAUGAGGAUAUAUUAGAAUAAAAUUCUGAAACAGAUUGAAGGGAUAAUGUCAACAGCAUAGGUGAUUGGAUUAGCCUUUAAUGGGAGGGACUUUUGAGAACGGGCAAGGGGGUUAAAUGGAUAGAAACAUAAGUUAUUGGUUCUGGGGGAGUAAUUCAGGACAUGUAAUGGUUUUACUGUCAGUGCUUUUCAUUUUCUCUAUGAUUUUAUUAAGAUAGGUAAUAGCUAUAGAAGGAUGGGUAUAGGGUAAAAUUUUGGCAAUAUUCAUGUCAGUUGAAGGGAAUCAAGCCAGGGACAUAACAUGUUUCAGGCCUCACUGUUCACUGUCAACCAGUUAUUCUUAAAGGCCAUCUUUUCAUAUCCUUUUCUUCAUACCGGCCCCCCACUCCCAUACAAUUGUAAUUGAAAGGAUGUGAAUCUUUCAGAGAUUGUUGUUGCUUGUGGUUCAGGGGCACAACUUAAAAAUAAAAUGAUGAGGGGCACCUGGAUACUUACAUACUUUCAGGUUGCAAGUGGCUCUUUCAUACAUAUCUAGGCUUGUUAUGGUAGUUUAUUAAUCCAGGUUUGCUAGAGUGUAGGUUGAAUUGUCUUUUAGUUAAUCAUAAUUGUAAAUUUUUCUUUCCAGAUCAAAUAAUUGUGGGGUGCCUGGGUGGCUCAGUGGGCUGAAUGUCCAACUCUUGGUUUUGGCUCAGGUCAUCUGUUGCUGUGGGCUGAGCAUGGAUCCUGCUUGGGAUUUUCUCUCUCUCUCUCUCUCUCUCUCUCUCUCUCUCUCUCUCUCUU